Molecule: long non-coding RNA, 6890 nt
Filed under: Sus scrofa (pig)
Lineage: Eukaryota; Metazoa; Chordata; Mammalia; Artiodactyla; Suidae
Description: lncRNA (ENSSSCG00015070133.1)
Source: RNAcentral
AAUAGAGAGAGAAAGGCCUUCCAGAAAAAGGGAGUGAUGUGAGCAGCAUCAAGGGAUAGGGAAGUGGGUGGCAUGUGUGCCCUGUCUGCACUAUCCCUGUCUGCACUAUCCCUGCACAGCCCUCGAGAGUUAGUGUCCAGAGCAGCUUGUAGAGAGAGUGUGUAACAGCAGCCUCCUCUACUUUCAUGCCGGGGGACUGCUGUGUGCUUAACAUACGUUAAUUACUCCUCACAGCAAGUCUAUGAGGUUGAAUAAUAUCAAGAUCCCCAUUUUACAGAUGAUAAAACCGAGGCCUGAAGGGAUCUACGGGAUUGGAAUGCAGGUCUAACUCUAACUGACAGCAGGAGGAGGAGAUUCAGCAGGGCAGAGGGGGAUGCAAGAGGCUGGGAGCUGGGAAUUUGGGAAGGGGGCCAGCAGAUGUGGAGAAACACUGGGUCUGUACAUGACAUGCCCAGAGAAGUCAUGAGUGGGCUGAUUCUCGUGGCUCAGUGCCUCUUUGGAGUGACAUGUUCAUGGUGAAAGUUCUGCUCGACAGAUGAUAAUGGCUCUGGAGGGAAUCACGAGGAACGAUGAGUGUGCGCUGUGCGUUGUCCCAGUGCGGUUACUAGAGAGCAAAGAAGGGUGCACGGCUUGUCAUGCGGUCUCUCGGGGAGGCAGCUGGCGGUAUGUGGUUGUGGCUGGUAAGCCACACGCAUGCACGCACACACACACACACACACACCUUGAUCUGUAGCAUCUGCUAACAUCAUAGUUGUAAAUACGUCCCCAGCUCCCUGGCUGAUGUCCAGGCACUGCUGUGAUGUCGCUGAGCACAGGUCUGGGAAGAGGACUGGGAUUUGCCAUUGCAGCGUCUCCUAGUCUAUAUGAGUUGCUCAAGAAAUAGGAGUUGAACUGAGUGAGAGAAUGAACUGAUAACCCUGCCUCUGAGAUCAAAUUCUCCCUCAGCGUGUAGUCGUGCCAAAUCCAGUGUCCCCUUCCUGAGGUUAGGGAUGUAUCGGAGAGGCGGUGUGCCAGAGUGAUCAAGAGCCCAGUCCUCGGGGGACUGCCUGGCUUUAAGUACAAGAUCUAACACUUAUUAGCUGUGUGACCAUAGGCAAGUGACCACGCUGCCUCAACUUCCUCAGCUGUAAGAUGGGGGUAAUGUAUUGCCUUCGCAGGGCUGUUGGGAGGUUUAAACUGUGAUAUGUAAAGCCCUUAGAAUAGUACCAAGAAUAUAGUAAGUGUCAAAUGAGUUUUUGUCAUCAUCGUAAUCAUCAUCUGCAAUUGUCACUCUCAUUUGCUGUUUUUGUCUCCUUUCAGUAUAAAUAGAAGCUAUAAUUAGCAUUCACAAGUCACAGUUUAUUUUCAUGUCUGCAUGCCUUAAAUAACCCCAGGUUUAGAACAACUUCUGAGGUUGAAUAUUCCUUAAAAUAUAACUUCUCCUCCCUUGGGCUCAAAGUUGGCCAUUGUAGCCUGGAUGCUCCCACCAUUUGCUGUGAGCUUUUGGGUGGUGAAUGAGUGAUCAGCGUUUUAGCACAGAGCAUUAAGUUCGGUGUCAUUUAAUAAAUGUGCAGCCAUGACCAUUUUUGUGGUCGUGGGGGUCUAGGGGGCAAGGUGGAUAAUUAAAUAUACCAAGAAUCCCCAGACUUUACGUCAUUCUCCUUCUAGGCUUUAUGGUUUUUCCUAACCUAGAACUCCAGACAGGUGGUUUAAUGACUCACCCCAUUCACCACACUGCUGUGUGAUCUGGGACUGCUCUAGCAAGGAGCAGAGAGCCUAGAGAUUCCCCACCUGGGACAAAGAACCAGUGGGCAAUCAAAGGUUAACUUACCUUUGGAGAAAAUCCAGUUUUAUUACCAAGAUCCCUGGAGAACAUUUUCAUUUAGGUAAAACAUGUAGCUAUAUCUUGUUUAAACUAGCCAAGGUAUCUUUCCAUGACAUGCAGAGGCCUGGGGAUAUUAGAUAGAGCAAGUGCCAUUUUCCUGGAUUAGGUGGAGCCAAAUAUGGCUAAUCAGUUUCUUACAUUUCCAUAAGCUGAUAGGGCUGGGACAGAUUGGGGUGAGGCACAUAUGGAGAUUUUCCUCCAUGCUCUGCCUCAAAGGCCCUGAAAUCCGGGUUCAAACUUGGGCUCCUUUGUUCAACAAAAUAUUUGUUGAGCCAGACACAGUUUCAGGUAGAGGCUACACUAACGAACAAGACAGACAAGAUGCCUGCCCUCACGGAGGUUACAUUCUAGACGGAAGGUUAUAAACAAGUAACAGAUUAAUGUAUGAUUUCAGAUGCUAGAUCCAUGCAGAAAAAGAAAGCAGAAUAAAAAGACAAAAAUGGAUACAGGAAUCUCUUUAGAAAAAAAUGGAUACGGGAAUCCCUUUCAGGGUAGGGGUGAGAGGUCUGAAACCUGCUGAGAGUGAGGAAGCCAGUCGCGUGAUGAUCUGGGUGAGAGAGGCCAGCAGGUAUAAAGGCCCUGAGGGGAGUGGCCAUGGCAUGCACAAGGCUGGCAUGGCUGGAGCAGAGUGGCUGAGCCGAGACCAUGAGGGGCUUCAGCCAGGGGAACUGGAGCUGCAGGCAGGGUCCAGAACAAGCACAGAGGGAGCUUGGAUUUUAUUCCAAGUGUGACUGACUGAAGGGUUUGGGGAGUGAUACGUAGUUUAGGAAAUUCCGUCCAGCUGCUGUGUACAGACGAAGACUACAGGGGAGUAAAGAAGAAUAAUGGAGAUAAGUUCGUUGGUUAUUUUAAGGGUACCUAGACUUUGUUUUAGCCAGAUUUGGUAAGACCUUGAGACAUGGAAAUAACUGCCUUGAAGGGAGCAAUUUAUAUUCACAUUUCCUUAGAAAUAGGAGGCACAGGAUGCCAUGUGGGCUCCCAUGGAAAAGCACCAGGGUCUGUCAGGAUGCAGAAUAAAUGCAGAGAAAUGUAGGCAUAGCCUUUGUAGUGGUUUUCACAGGGAAGAGUGAGCAUGGCAGAUAAGCAGAUUUAGGAUUGGCUGCUUUGAAUACAUUUGAUUGGCUCUGGAGUAUAGAGGCAGUCCCUAGUUGUUUGGGACCUGGCCCCGGGAUAAUUCAGGUAGGUGGAUGGUGAACCACAGUGUGAGAGCCCAAUAAAGGAUGCCAUGUCUGAGCUCUGGACUGGUUGGUUUGCACUUGAAAAGGGUGCUUGCCCUCAGUCAUUUGCUAUCUCUAGGAAGUGGCUGAUGCUGAAAGGAGCAGUGCCUCCAUGGUCAGCAAGUCCCAGGUGUUAUAGCCUCAGAACACAGGAAAUAAAAGCCAUGGUUCACACAGUGGGAGGUGAUGGUUUGUGAAGACCCUGCCAGAAAAGAGGAAAAUGAAUAAUAAUGUUAAAUAAUAAGACCAGAGUCAAGGUGUCAAGGUGUCAAAGUGUCAAGGAAUGGGUCUGAGGCAUUUCCAUAGGCGACGUGUGUGCUCCUACAUUUGAAUUCAUGGUCUUUAGGAGAUAAUUUGAUUCUUGCAGGGAAACAUGUAUUUUAUUCAGAGAUAUUUUAGGGGAAAUUUCCAGAGUCUUGCUGGUGGAGAGAAAUCAAGGUGUAGGUGAAACUAACUCCUCAUCCCCCGCCACGUGUCCCCUCAAGAGCCCCUGCUUCAAUUUCCUUCCUGCUUACUUUCAGCAGCAAACCAGCAGACACCUGAAGUCUCAUUGGGAGUGUCUACUGACACCUAGCCAAAACCUGAAGCAGCAGAAUCUUCAACUUGUAGCAAGAGACAGGAUUCUGUUAAUCUGAGGUUGCAGUGGCUCUGGGGGGAGGGUUUCAGGAGCACACUGCACUGUGGGAGAACCCGAGGAAGACCAGAGGAGACAGGAGAUGCUGAGUAGGAGGAGAUUGUCUACACGCGCCCCUUGAGAAGCCGAGCGAGUGAGCGUUGUCCCGCUGCUUAUCAGAGAGAGAGUAGCUAAGUCAAGGUACCUGACCACCCAGACCCAACUCUGGGCCAUCACUUGCUCUCUUCAGUGCAAGAUCAACUGAAAUCUCCGUUGGUGUUCAGUGUCUUUAAUCUGGGCCACACCGGUGUGGAGGAACUGGGGAAAAAAGCAGCUCCUACGCCAGAAUCACCUGGUGGGCGGCAAACAAGCCUGUUUUGGAUUGCUGGGUAGAGAGGAGUACCAAUCAGUGGGUGACCAGUUUCCCAUCCAAGGAGGUGGUAAGACCGUUCUCACCCUCCUUGUAGCCAGAAAUACCUCCCACCUCCCUCCAGGGACAGAAGGGUGCUAAUGUGCUGUGCCAGCCUAUUCUGUAUUCUUCGUGCCAUGACAUGUCCUCCAAGGUCAUCCAGUUUUAUCUGAUGACUGAUUUUCCCGUAAAACAUCCCCUGUAGGGAGCGCACAGCUUCUCCCCGAAUAUAACCAGUGAUGAAGAACUUAGCUUCCUGAGGAAGCUGGUUCUAUUUUCAGAUAGCGUAGUGCUAAUGUUUGGUUCUACAUAUGGAAAGUCUUUCUGUCUUCCUGAAGCUUCCAGGUACUUGUUCUAAUUUAAGCACCUUGGCACACAAGAUAUGUUUAAUUUCUUUUCUGUUAGGUAGUCUUUCAAUUUUUCAAAGACAGCUGUCUUAUCCUUUUAUAUCUCCUCUUAAUAAGCAAGGGGGUUUCUUCAUUUGUUCUUUGUAUAGUUUGGUUUUAGGUCUCUUCACUCUGCUGGUGAUUCUCCCUGAAAUAUAUUUGAUUGUAUACCUCACUUUUAAAAAGUGGAACCUAGAAGUGACUACAGAAUUCCAGGUAUGAUCUGAGCAGCACAUAGUACAGGAUGAAAAUGUUGCCCUUUGUUAUAGACUCUUUACUUUUAUUAGAGUCAGAGUUGGUUCAAUAUUUUGUGGCUUCAUGGUAUCAGAUUAAUUGUUGACUGAAACUCUCAAGGCUCUUAAAAAAUGUCAGCUGCCUUUAUAUCAAAUUUCUCCUCUUCAUGCACUGCAAGAUUUUAGGACUCAAAUUCUGGACUGUUAACCUUAUUAAAACAAAUUAUUUUUAGAUUUUACUUAUCAUCCCAGCCCAUCAAAAAUAUUGGGGCAUACGCAGGGCUGUGAGCUCUUUCUCCGGCAGAUCACCAGGACGCUAGGAAGCCCUCGCUAGGUUUGACAUCAAUCCAUUAAUGAGUAUUCUUUGGAUAUGAUUUCUGAAUAGUUAAUAACCCACUAAAGUGUUCUAGCAUCUGACCCAUUUUUCUCUAUGUUGAGCACAAGUGUAUCAUUAGAAACGCCACCAAUUGUUUCGCUACAGUCCAGACGCCUGAGUGGAAAUGUGUGAGCAUUGUCUUUAUCUGCCAGCCCCCCACUGAGGGAUGGAAAUGGGCCGGACUAACAGGAUGUGUUCUUGCGAACCCAUGCUGGGUCCUCUAAUCACUUCUUUGUCAUUUGGGGGCCUAUUAUAACAUCGCUUUAGUAAUACAUUCUGGAAUCUUGUCUGAGAUCCAUAUCGAGCUCAAUCACCCGUAGUUUACAGAUUCCAUUUUCUGUCCAUUUUAGAAAAUUGGAAGGAUGUUUACUCAUUUCCAGCCUUCUAAGAUCUCUUGACUUCUUCCUCAACAGCGUGCCUAUCCUGUCUCUGAUCUCCACCGUGUCCCAGAUAGAGCUGAAAGCUAUUUGUUUUUGGUUUUGCCUUUUUGGUGGUUUCCUGGCCUUCGGUCACUUUGAUAAAACACUCUCUUGUCACUUUCUUUCACAUCUCUGAAGUUUGUGUCCUUCCCACCCUGUCCUUUAAAAUCUGAGCUUCCAGAGCAGUGUUUUGCAACCAUAAGUAAAUAUUGGGGUCACUUGGGGAGACUAAAAAAUGACUUCUGCUGGUUUCCCACCUGAGACAAACUGAGUUAAAACUUCAAUAAGUAAUGGGAGCAUUUUUUUUUUUUUUAAGUCCCCCAGUGGACAGCCAAAGUUGGAACUAUAGUGGAGUGGCCUAUUAGUUUUCUUUGUUUCUGGUUUUGUGUGCUGGUUUUUGUUGUUUGUUUUAGAUUUUUUUUCCCCUCGGUAUCAUUGGUCUCACCUGUCUUGGCAUCGUGAGAUUAGAAUGUCUGAGAAAUUUCUGAAACAUUUUGAGAGCCAUGGACCGUCCCUCCUUACACCUUGAAAUUUUGCUUUUCUUUACCUUUGAAUCUUACCAGUAAAUCACUCUGUCUUCAUGUCUCUUGGCUCCCACGAUGUGAACUCAGUGACCUUUGCCCUAAGACUCCUUUCUCAUCCUCUUUGAUAAACAUUCCUUUACCCUAGUAGGCCAGAAUUAAACCUAAGACAGUAGUUUUUCCAUUUGUGUGCUUGAUCUGUUUGGAAAUGUAGCCGGGCUAGUUUUAGGCUGCUCUGCUUUGGGCCAAAUGAGGCUUUUAGUAGAUGUUUAUGGAGUUGAAAUCCAUCAUGACCACAUCAUGCUGGUAGUCACUUACAAAAAAUGUGUUGGGAACCUAUUACACUUUUCAUUUAUCUUGUCCAGUGUCCCAGUCUGUACAUUAGGGAUUCACAAAUCUAGUGGAUCCACUGCUUAGACAGUGGCAAAAAUACACAUUUUAGGAUGCGGCCCUGGAAUAUAUGAUUUAGUAGGGGCUCAAGAAAUUGCAUUUUAAAGUUCCCUUAAACAAUGUUGAUAAUUGGCCAGGUUUCAGAAGCACUGGCCUGAACCACAACAAUAUCCUUAUGUUCUUGUUCCCUUAUCUCUUGUCUCUUCAGCUGACAUCCACCCACAGGUCCAUGGAUUUUCACAAAGAUGUCUGUCUUGCUGGCAUGUGUUUUAGUCAAUUUCUUCCUCGAGCAGGCCUCUUUGUCUUGAAUAGAGCAUAUACUUCCAUCAGCAUUUUUCGAUUCUGUAUCUCUUCUUUCCCAAACUUGGUGAAACAAGUUCAUAUUUAUUGCCCUCUCUUGUAAGAAUUUCUUUCAAGUUAUCCCCAAUUCAUUUUGUUACUCAUGCUCUGCUGACUGUUCAU